GACGAACGCUGGCGGCGUGCUUAACACAUGCAAGUCGAGCGGUAAGGCCCUUUCGGGGUACACGAGCGGCGAACGGGUGAGUAACACGUGGGUGACCUGCCCUCAGCUCUGGGAUAAGCCUGGGAAACCGGGUCUAAUACCGGAUAUGACUCCAUGACGCAUGUUGUGGGGUGAAAGCCUUGUGCGGCUGAGGAUGGGCCCGCGGCCUAUCAGCUUGUUGGUGGGGUGANGGCCUACCAAGGCGACGACGGGUAGCCGGCCUGAGAGGGCGACCGGCCACACUGGGACUGAGACACGGCCCAGACUCCUACGGGAGGCAGCAGUGGGGAAUCUUGCGCAAUGGGCGAAAGCCCUGACGCAGCGACGCCGCGUGAGG
This 376-nucleotide ribosomal RNA is filed under the name uncultured bacterium. Its description in RNAcentral is "bacterial SSU rRNA". It matches the Rfam family "Bacterial small subunit ribosomal RNA", at positions 28 to 406 of the family's 1533-position model. The record is from RNAcentral.